AGGAUCAUUGUCGAAACCUGCCUAGCAGAACGACCCGUGAACGCGUUGUGAAACAACACCGGGGGGUGGCACGGGCGCAUCCCUGCUCUCUCGCCACCGUCCGGCACGUCUCGUGGCGAUUGGUCCCGUCGGGUCUAACCACCGCGAGGCGAAACGAACAAACCCCCGGCGCGAAUCGCGCCAAGGAAUCGAAACAAAUAAAGGAGAACGUCCCUCGACAUCCCACCGUUCGCGGUGCCGAUGAUCGGGUGGUGUUGUUCUUUUGUGACAAGAUAUACAAAACGACUCUCGGCAACGGAUAUCUCGGCUCUCGCAUCGAUGAAGAACGUAGCGAAAUGCGAUACUUGGUGUGAAUUGCAGAAUCCCGUGAACCAUCGAGUCUUUGAACGCAAGUUGCGCCCCAAGCCAUUAGGCCGAGGGCACGUCUGCCUGGGUGUCACGCAUCGUCGCCCCAUCCAACCCCGAGCCAUCCGGCAACGGUGGUGUUGUGGGCGGAAAUUGGCCUCCCGUGCGCCAACGGCUAGCGGUUGGCCCAAAUUCGAGUCCUCGGCGACGGCAUCGCCGCGACGAUCGGUGGUAAUGCUAUCGGCUGCCUCGUUCGGAGUCGCGCGCGUUCGUCGAUCGAGACCCUAGACCCUUUCGGCAUCGCAUGGACGGUGCUCGCAUCGCGACCCCAGGUCAGGCGGGAUUACCCGCUGAGUUUA
This 704-nucleotide ribosomal RNA is filed under the name Cienfuegosia heterophylla. Its description in RNAcentral is "eukaryotic LSU rRNA". The stretch from base 284 to 439 matches the Rfam family "5.8S ribosomal RNA". Lineage: Eukaryota; Viridiplantae; Streptophyta; Magnoliopsida; Malvales; Malvaceae. The record is from RNAcentral.